GGCUGCGUAGCUCAGUUGGCUAGAGCAUUCGGUUCAUACCCGGAGUGUCAGGAGUUCAAAUCUCUUCGCAGCCACCA
RNAcentral lists this transfer RNA (77 nucleotides) under Anaerovibrio lipolyticus. RNAcentral's name for it is "tRNA-Met". It matches the Rfam family "tRNA". Rfam says of the family: Transfer RNA (tRNA) molecules are approximately 80 nucleotides in length. Their secondary structure includes four short double-helical elements and three loops (D, anti-codon, and T loops). RNAcentral also lists the same sequence under 4 other names. The record is from RNAcentral. Lineage: Bacteria; Bacillati; Bacillota; Negativicutes; Selenomonadales; Selenomonadaceae.